UUAUUCAGUCUUGUUGAAACAAAAUCGAGUGGCAAAACAGUGGCAAAACAGGAGACAGCAGACAUCCAUGAGAGCCAUGGGUUGACUUCUGGUGCUCUUUGGGUUUUUCAGCCUUGGCGUCUGUCUCCCUCGUCAGUAUCACUUCAUUAAUGAGAAUAAGACCUGGGCGGAAGCACAGAGAUACUGCAGAGAGAAUUAUGUUGAUUUAGCCAGUAUUAAUACCACUCAAGAGCAACUGGC
This is a long non-coding RNA of Pangasianodon hypophthalmus (striped catfish), 240 nucleotides long. RefSeq lists it as uncharacterized. NCBI's taxonomy places the organism in Eukaryota, Metazoa, Chordata, Actinopteri, Siluriformes, Pangasiidae. The transcript is spliced from 3 exons. The record is from RefSeq and is a predicted model, not a curated record.